GUUUCACAGCAGCACAUGUGUAAUCCUGCUGCGUCACAGCUCCACAACUCAGAAAAUGCACGUUUCUCAGGAUGGAAAGAGACCCAGGGAGUCCUCGUCUCUGAGGAAAUCCCAGAAGCCAUUCAGCAGUGCAGCACAUUGGUUUCUACACAAAAAUGGAAGCUGGAAGCCAGUUGUCCUUCCUGGGAUCACAGCUACACCACUUUUCUCAGCAUAUUCUGCAGUUUUGGAAGCCUUUUCUGUCUGAGAACUUAUCUGAGGAAGUGGAGACAAUUUGGUGAAACAAGCACAGAAAUUAAAGCGAGUAACAUCAAAGAAAAAUACCAUCAGAGUUAUGCGGGUUUCUUUUUAAUUGAAAUUUAUAAUUGCUCUUAA
RNAcentral lists this long non-coding RNA (375 nucleotides) under Callithrix jacchus (white-tufted-ear marmoset). RNAcentral's name for it is "lncRNA (ENSCJAG00000074577.1)". Lineage: Eukaryota; Metazoa; Chordata; Mammalia; Primates; Cebidae. The record is from RNAcentral.